This 384-nucleotide long non-coding RNA is filed under the name Brassica rapa (field mustard). Its description in RNAcentral is "long non-coding RNA (BRAP_LNC003209)". Lineage: Eukaryota; Viridiplantae; Streptophyta; Magnoliopsida; Brassicales; Brassicaceae. The record is from RNAcentral.
CCAAAAGAAUCAGGGCAAACCGCAAUAAUGACACUAAGAUAGCUAAAGAGGAUCUUGCUACCAGCUCCAAGCAAUCGAAAGACAGUUCUUCCUUCCAAGUGGAUUCAACCAAGAACCAUCUGCCCACAAUCUGCAAAAGAAACAAUGGUGAGAACUACAGAAUCUUGUUGAUGGACAUUGGAGAUGAAAACAAACGAGCUUGGUUAACAGAGGUAUUUAGAUAAAAAAUAUAGUUGACUCAGAUGUGUUUUUCUAUUCACCUUAUGUUGUCUUCUGGUUUCUUAUUACAACAGGUAAUAAGAAAACUAGGUGGGGAUGUGACCAUGGACGGCAACAUGAGCACACAUAUUGUCACUGGAAAAGUCAGAAAAACGCUUAACUUCU